GGCUGCCAGCACGCUGUCACCUUUCAUUAGGACCUGCUAAUUGGUUUCACAUGUGUGUGGAACCAUCCCAGGACUGGAUUCCAAUAUGAGGAGAGAAAUGGGUUAUUUCACUGAAAGGUAUGACUGAGUUAGACUGAAGAAACUCUUAUAUGACACUGUACUAUGGCUUUAAUGAGCAUUAGUGUUAGGAUGACAUUUUGUUUAGAGAGAUAUUGAUGGUAAAAAAGAAAAGGAUUUGAACUCCAGUUCACCAUUUCCUAAGCAUGACCUUGAGCUAUUCAUUCACUCUAUGUAGUCAUUUAAUAAAUAUUUAUUGAGCCCUAUAUAGGCCAAGCACUCUGUGAGGUGAUGGAAAUUCUCCUGCCCUCAAAAAGUAACAGUAAUUAUUAUUUGCAAUCUACCUCCCUAAGGCAUAACAAUGCCUAUCUUUCAGAGUUAUGUGUAAUAGGAUUUGUAAGUGGAUUUUUUUUUGUCUCAUAAUUGUCUACUUGGCUCCAAAGUUAGAGACAAAUAGGUGAAAAUUAGGAGACAAAUAGAUGAUUGGUAAACACCAGUCAUUAAGAGGCAAAUUCAUUCUGCUACUCCGCUUACCACUGUACUCACUAAUCUUGAGGGGACUACUGAAUUGUAAAUCUUCAGCCUCAGAAAGGGUUCUGUGUCUUUUCCUUUUACUCUUUCUCAGUGCCCCUUAUGCAUAAUCCAAUGGAGUAUUCCAAGGAAAAUAUUUUUAAUGACUGGGGGUUGCCUGCAAUAAGUUGAGCCUGAAAUCUCAUUUUUCAGUUGGAUACCUACUCAUGUCAUGGAUCUGUAGUAUUCUUUUUGCUUACUCCAGCAGUAGGAAAUAAUAUAGGGACAGAACUCAAGAGAGAGAAAAUGAGCAAUAGGGCAAUGAGGCACACUCCCAUUGUCUGGUAGAAAAAAGAUGCAUGAGUCUUCCAUAUGUCAAGUAGAUACUACAAAGGUACCAGGCUUGAACUAUUGUGAAGCAAGUUCAUCCUAGACUGUGACUUACUAAGAGAAGAGACCCCAGCAGCAAAAGCCUGUAAGGUGAGUUAUGCAGGAAAUAAGGAGACUGGAAGAGGUCUACAGGAGUCGAUUUCCUAUGAAAGGAGGUUGUGCAAUGAAGAGACUGCCUGCUACAUGGAGGACAGAGGUCACAACAACAACUGGUAAGCAAAACAUUUCUGCUGACUUUUGAGAAUUCUCUCUUCUUCCUCAACAUAGAAAGGGCUCAGAAAAUGCAAAAGGGAGGGGAAAGAGUUACGAGUAGCCUCCUCUCACUGCCACUGUGUCCUGGGGAGGAGAUGGACAUUUGAAUUGGACAAGAAACUGAAGUGGAUGGCACUGGAUUGCCUCUUUUCCACUCUUUUCCAGCCUAAAAAGUUCACAAAAUUGGCAUUUGCUGGAGAAGCCAUGAAGUCUUGGGAAAGGGAGAUUCGACAGAGCAUGUUACAGCCACAAUAGGAGAAAAAAACCUUCUCAGGUUUGAACCCUGCUGAGUUCACAGUUUUCAAUAAAUUGCUGACAAAUGCAAGGUGUUCAGACAAGUAGGUAGUGCUCCACAAAUAGUAGAUAUUAUUCUAGUCACCUAGAGAGAAUAAAUGUUCAGAAAAUGUCUACGUAUGUUUUGCUAUCAAAGAGCGAAUAAGAUAUUCAAUUUGUAUUUUUGCUUUAGAUAAAGCAUAAUGCCCUUAUUAUGCCUUCAAGUCUUCAUUUCCCCCACGAAGGGACGUUUUUCUGUGUUAUUUGACCAUAUGCCUUUUGCUACGCUGGGCAUUUGCCUUCUUUGACCUUUUCUGGACAUUCCCACUUUACCCGCCAGGGAUUGAGGAGAUUACAAAGGUCAUCUAAUCAUCUAGUCUCGUUUCCAAUUUGGUUAAGAUAAAAUAUUAUUUAAUUACUAGAAAAAUACUUUGUUAUUAAAAUCAAAGUGUCUUGUGCUGGUUUGCAAACAAAGUAAUUUCUACACGCUUAUAACACAAAGAGGAGACCAGAUGUGGUGAAGUAGAAGAGAGAGGACACUGGCUUUGGAGCCAGGGGACCCAGAGCGGCUCCCAGUAAUGUGAUAUUUUAUGUGUUUUCCAACCCCAUGCAGCAUCCAUUGCCUCACCUGUAAAAUAGGGGUUUUGACAAGGACCACAUCGAGUUAUUGUGAAGAGUAAAUAGAUGAUUAUAGAAAACAUGUCACACAGUGCUAGGCACAUAGAUGAAGCUUAAGGAAUAGCUGUUGUCCCGUUUCCAAGGUUGCAGAGUCAGAAGACACCCCUAAGAAGACAUAAAGUACUGUUGUUCAGAAGGAAGGCAUUGGGAAAGUCAAAAGGACACCAGAAAUAGUGAACUCAACAUUGAUUUGCACAUUUGACCAAGGUUGGUGGUCAUUUACGCAGCAGUAUUGAGAUGAUCCAUAGAAAGUCAUGAUAACACUAUUGGAGCAAAGUCACAAUAUUUGUAUUUUCAUAUGUAUCUCAUGAUGUAUAUAAGUACUCAUUUUAACACCCAUUGUUUAAAAACUGUUCAGAAUUCAGAAAAAUUAAAAAAUCAUUUAAACUAAAUAUUACAUUAUUGACUAUAACUUAAAUUUCAAAAUGUAAACAUUAACCAUCUAUUAUAAUUUGAAUUAGCAGGAUAAAAAGCAAUACAAAAGUAUAUAAAAUAAAGUAAACAUUGCACAAAAUGAAGAAAAUGAAUCCUGAAAAUUGAAAAUGAAUUAAAUUGGAUUUUCUGGCAAAUAUGAUCUUAAGAACAACGUGUAUCAAUGGUGUUAUCUUCGAUGGUGAGCCUCAUUUUGGGGCAUAUUCUUCUAGCCACUGGAAACACUUUCCAUAAUUUAAAAUAGACAGAAAAAUAGUGACGAGACAAAAAGCAACUAAGUCCAAAUAUCUUCCUCUGGAACUUUUAUUUACAAAUGAUUCCAUCUUUUUGUGAGAGUAUAAAGAUGAUCUUUUAGAAAUUUUUAUUUUUAUUGUAUUAAAGACUACGAUGUCUUUAUUGACAGCUGUAGUUUUUGUUAUUAAGGCCCAGAAGUCAGCUUACUGGAUGCCUGGUUCUUAGCUUUUGCUGUGAAAUAGCCUUUUUUGAAACAAAACAAAUCCAUCAGACAGGCAAGAGCUUCUACCACCAAACACUGACUGUUUUAGCUAUCAAUCUUACCCCAUUGGAGGCAGCCUUAUAUUGAGAGUAAGACGGACUCCUUUUUCCUUAUAAUUGUCUUUUAAGGAGGUCCUAUUUCAUUAAAUAUUCAGGGAAAAUUGUUUUUUGUUUGUUUGUUUGUUUGUUUUUUAAAAACCUUCUUUCAGGAAGUAGAACUAGGGUGAAUUUAAUCUGGGAAAAUUUGGGCUACUGUCCCAGUCAUCUUUGCUUUCUAGCUCAGAGGCCUUGAGAGAUCGUAAGGUCUCUCUUUUAAUGCUGGGUUUAACUCUCUGGUAAUUCUCAAAGUAUAAAUAAUUCAUGUCUCAGGUUUUAAAAAUGUUAAAAUAAUGAUAUCACACUAACAAAAUAUUGGCGUUUGGGUACAUAAGAGUCUGUAGUAUGAUCUACUAGAGUUCUAGAAUGUUGAACAUUGAUGGUGCAAUUAUUAAUUAAAAUUAUCUUGCUCAGAAGGUUUUCCUCCAUUAAACUACACUUUUUAGAGUAAGCUCACUUUGGUUUAAGGCACCUGUUCAUAGGAUGUCCUUAAAUAUAUGAAUAUUGCCCUGGGAGUUACCCUUUUAGUCAUUAAUAACUGGGCAUAAAUCACUUAUCUGCCAGGUAAUCAAGAACAGGACCCAGAACAAGUGUUUUUCUUUCUUUCUUUCUUUCUUUUUUUCUUAGGCUGGAGCAGUGGAAAGAGAACUAUGCACAAGGAUGAGGAGAAUAAUUGUGAUUGUGGGACAGGGCCCCAGGAGAGAGGUAUAGCAGACUGGCCUUGGAAAGCCUGCAGCUGCAUCAGGAAGGCAAAGCAUGCUUGGAAAAAAUGCUGACUGAAACAGCUGCUGGGUUAGUAACUAACUCCAACUUAGUUACUGGAGCUGCUGCUGUUUCUGCUGUGAUGAGAGGUAUGGAGGCCAUGUCAAAGCCUGGCUUUUUCUCCCCAGGAUUUGCAGGGAAGGCUGCAAAAACCAGGGUGAGAGAUGCUGAGUCUUCUGAGUUUUAUGACCAUUGGAAUGGCAUGAGUCAAUCAACCAUUGCUGAGCUCCUCUGAUCAGGACUCUGGGCAAGCAACAGUCUGGGGCUGAGGGUAGAUGAGGCCCAGGAGGAUCUGAGGAAAUGUCCAAGAUAGGUCUGGAAGAGUGAGGAAAAUGGAUGAUGAAAACUUAGCAUGUCUAGAAGGAGUGAGGUCUCAACAAAUGUGUAACUUAGUGUAUGUAGUAUUGGAGUGACGUUCUAGGAAUGGCCAAAAGCUAGGAUUCCAUAGGCUGAUUUGAAUGAAUUUGAGAUGUGUGCCCAUUUUGUUGUGCUUAUUAUGGCUGAUCCUGUAGUUUUAGCAAUUCAGUGAUCAUCUCAACUUUCUUCCUAAACAGCUGAGCCUGGAAAGCUAAAACUAACACUUUUCAGACUUCAAUGAAAUUACUGUUCUGAAUAUGAUUCAGGUUCUACCAAAGAGAUGUAUUCAUGAGAACUGAAUUUAGAACUGAAGGAAGUGGGGAGAGAAGCAUGAGCUGUGAUGGUAGUAGCUGCUGGGUAAGUGGCCAGCAGCCACUAUGGUACUUCCUAUCAUGGCAGAGACAACUGGUCUCAGAGGUGCCCAGUUGUGUCUUGUGGCUUUGGACAUUUCUCCUGGAUGCUCAACCUAGAGACUGUUUAUCUCUCAAGUGAUUUGUAAACCUUUUAAUGCUCUGUGAAAAAAAAAUUUAAUCCCUUUUGCCUAAACCAGCUAGAGUGGAUUCUAUUCUGAGGAAAUGACCAUAUUUUAAAGGUUUGCUGGAGAAGUCUGGAUGGGGGGUGGAGAGAAAGAAAUAUAAAAAUAGAGAUAGAAAUAGCUAAAUGGAGGGUAGAGAUAUUAAUUCCGGCUCUUAGAUGGUGGGCAACUCACUACCCACAAUUAUUAAAUCUGAUUUUUCCUCUCAGCACACAUUCAUAUAGAUACCAUGUAUGAAGAAUACAGGAGAACCCUGAAGGUAUCCAAAUGAAAUUGACUUCCCAGUCAUCAUUAAACAUUUAAAGAACUUCAACAAAACAUGCUCCAUGUUAAGGACUUUAGCACCUAAAAAUAAGGAAAGAUGCAGCUUUUGAUUUUAAACAUUUAUUGUUUUCAAGGGAAAGCCUUCUGUAUCCCUGCACACUUUAAGCAGGUAAAUGUUAGAUUGCUGCAUCAGCUCCUGGACUCUGCAUAACUUCUGAUGUCCUUCUGGUAAACCUUGAUCCCUUAUUGCAUCAUGUGACCUCCUCUCCCCCAGCUCUAGCUCUGCCUAGCCGCAGUCCCUGGAAAGUAAUACAGUGGAGGAGGACCCCCAUGAUUACAUUCUGCGAGAGGAGUUCCUAAGCAUUGCAGCAUGAAAAACAGUGCUUAAAAGCUUAAGCAAUAUUUUUCAAAAUAUUGACCUAUCUCAGUAGGAACUGAGAUAGGCAACAAAUCUGACUGACAGAAUACAUUUCAAACUUUCAAAAUUGUGUCUUCCUCUUACUGUGGGUCCUUACCCCUGAACAAAGUUCAUCACACCUGGCUUCACGUUGCAGGGUAUAUUUUUUUGAUGCCUGCCUUAUCUGGCUUCCAGUCAUGCCCUGGAAUUUGAGUGUCUCUCAAAUGUAAAAAUCAAAAAGUAUAUUGUAAAAAUGUCUAUACUAUGCAAAGUAAUAUACAGAUUCAAUGCAAUUUCUAUCAAGAUUCCAAUGACAUUUUUCACAGAAAUAGAAAAA
RNAcentral lists this long non-coding RNA (5835 nucleotides) under Homo sapiens (human). RNAcentral describes it as "HSALNT0342106". Lineage: Eukaryota; Metazoa; Chordata; Mammalia; Primates; Hominidae. The record is from RNAcentral.